This 387-nucleotide ribosomal RNA is filed under the name uncultured bacterium. RNAcentral's name for it is "bacterial SSU rRNA". It matches the Rfam family "Bacterial small subunit ribosomal RNA", at positions 414 to 793 of the family's 1533-position model. The record is from RNAcentral.
ACCUUCGGGUUGUAAAGCACUUUCAGUAGGGAGGAAGGUAGUGUAGUUAACACCUGCAUUAUUUGAGUUACCUACAGAAGAAGCACCGGCUAACUCCGUGCCAGCAGCCGCGGUAAUACGGAGGGUGCGAGCGUUAAUCGGAAUUACUGGGCGUAAAGCGCAUGCAGGCGGCCUGUUAAGUCAGAUGUGAAAGCCCGGGGCUUAACCUCGGAAUUGCAUUUGAAACUGGCAGGCUAGAGUCUUGUAGAGGGGGGUAGGAAUUUCAGGUGUAGCGGUGAAAUGCGUAGAGAUCUGAAGGAAUACCAGUGGCGAAGGCGGCCCCCUGGACAAAGACUGACGCUCAGAUGCGAAAGCGUGGGGAGCAAACAGGAUUAGAUACCCUGGUAG